GCUAAAAGUGCCGCGGCUAUAGCCCCGGACGCCAUAGCCCCGGACGCCCAGGGCUAACGACGCCACUGCUGGCGGCUAUGGAUAUACGAUCAUUUUUCACAAAGAAAAAGGACAAGGUGUCUACUGUAGCAGUAGAGACACUAGCAGAAAGAAGUAAGGAUGUGAGACUGCCACUGUCUCAUCUGAAGUUACAAGCUCAGAUGGCCCGGAAUGCCCUGACCAACAGGGGACGUUUCUGGGACUUCUGUGCAGGUUCUGUUGGCAGGUCUUCCUCAGGUUUGGGACAGGAUGGGAUGCCGUGGUCAUGAUCUGUGGGGGGAACCUUGCACAAUUAGAACUGAACAGGCUACUCAAGACACCAAAAGUUCCUUUACAUACAGAAGGCAGCUACUUCAGAUAAGGUAGGACCUCUGGUUCAACUCUAUUCUUGAACACCUGUUGCAGGAUA
This is a long non-coding RNA of Esox lucius (northern pike), 448 nucleotides long. Lineage: Eukaryota; Metazoa; Chordata; Actinopteri; Esociformes; Esocidae. The record is from Ensembl.